CUUCUAUUUUCUCUUUAUACUGCCUCUCUUGGCAAACUUAUUACCUCAUUUGGAUUCCACUACCACCUGUACGCUGAUGACACCCAGCUAUAUCUCUCCUCCCCGGACCUCUCCCCUGCUGUCCUGCAACGUGUCACUGCUUGCCUUUCUUCCAUCUCUGACUGGAUGUCCUUCCGCUUUCUGAAACUCAAUCUCUCAAAAACUGAGCUCCUUGUCUUUCCUCCUCCUAAUACUGAUCCUCCUCUUUCGCUCUCCCUUCAAGUU
Molecule: long non-coding RNA, 264 nt
Filed under: Pelobates cultripes (western spadefoot toad)
Lineage: Eukaryota; Metazoa; Chordata; Amphibia; Anura; Pelobatidae
Source: RNAcentral